GAGGCGGAUCCCGCGCCGCCCGCAUCCUGGUGCGGUCGUGCCGUUGCGGGGCGCAGGCGGUAGCGCGGAGCUCCGGGGCCUGGAGCAAUGUCGGGUGGCUGAGAUUGGAGUCGCGGAGUUGCUGUGUCGGUGCUCUGGUGUUUGCCGGUUGCAGUUCUGGUGCUCGGUGAGGGGUCAGGGAGGGACGCGGAGGGGGCGGGGUGGUCGGUGAAGCCGUGCUGCGUGCAGCCCCGGGGCUUGGAGCCGCGUGGGGUCAUUGAGUGGUGCUGUGCGAGGGGGCUGCGGCCGUAAUGUUCGGUUGGGAGCCCAGUAGGUAGCAGCUCUAUUAACUGAGUCCUCGGCCGGCCCUAAUGCCCAGCUGCGUGCGUGCUUCUCCUAGCCCGAGUGCCCAGAGCCCCAGCGGCUGUUAGUUCUGAGCAGCCUACUGGCUGCAGCCCUUGCUGCCCGCUCCUCGCAGCCUGCUGGCCCAGAGGUGGUUCGGCUGAGGCCCGGUGUUUGCAGCCCCGAUACCAAAUCCAGAUCGCAGAGCCUGACCGCUGAACCCCACCGCUGCUGCACCAUGCCGUGCCGCCGUGAGAUGCUGGCCCUGGUGGCCGUGCUGGGCUGGCUGCUGGUGCUGCUGCUGGACCUGCAGGUGCUGGCGCUGCUGUGUGGGACCGCAGCUGUGCUGGGUGGGUGGCUGGGACCCCGAGCUCUGAGCAGGCCAGGCUGGAGGCUGCGCUUAGAGCGCUUUGCUGGAUCCCUGCGGCCGGCGGCACACAGCCCUGAGGCGGAGGAGCUGCUGGAGCAGGAGAUCAGCAGCACCGUCAGGAAAGUGGUGAGGGACUUCGUCUCCUCGUGGUACCGCACCGUCAGCAGUGAGCACGCCUUUGAGGCUGAGGUGGAGAAGGCCAUGAUGGGGCUGGCAGCUGAGCUGAGGUGGCGGAUGGCGCGGGUUGACCGCCAGGCCCUGGCCCGCCGGCUGCUCCUGCUGUGUGGCCGUCACCUGCAGAGCUACCUGCAGGCCCUACGGGGACACGGGCUGCUGUGGGAGGAGUACCGCCGGGUCGCGGGCCUGCAUCCAGCCCUCUGCAGCCCGGCGGCUGAGGUGAGCUAUGCCCGCGCCUCUGUGGAGCUGCUGCUGCGGGCUUUGGUGCCUCGGCCCCACCUGGAGACGCGGACGGGUCGCUUCGUGGUGGUGGAGCUGGUGGCCUGCAAUGUGCUGCUGCCAGCCAUCAGGAAGAUGGCUGACCCUGACUGGAUCAACCUGCUGCUGGUUGGGGCCUUCCCCAGGAAGGCACAGGGCGAGGAGCCCAGCCCUGCAGUUCCAGUGCCAGACUCUCUGCCUCUCACAGUUCAGCUGGGUGCUGCCCCAGCAGUACCGCUUCUAUCCCCAUCACCUGGGCGAGAAGCAGGGGCUGGUGGUGAGGAUGGUGUGGAUGUGCCGUGUGAGCCACCCUGUAGUGAGGGGGUUGUCUUGAGGCCACGAGGCCUGGGCUUGCUGUUCCCUUAUGAGGGUUUGGAGCUGGAUUCUCCAGGCCAGGAUGUGGAGCUGCUGGCACCAUCACCCGCUGGGGAGUUUCUUGAUGAGCAUCUCCCUGAUGUUCCUGCUCUGUUGGAGGGAGCAGACACUUCAGAGGAUGGGAUGGGGGAUCUGGAGGAUGGCCAUACCACCAGUAGUGAUGCUGGACUGCUACUCCCAUCUGCUUAUGUUCUGGGCUCCUGCCCUGACAUCCAGAUUGAUCCAGUGAUGGAGACAGAGGAGGACAGUCCCAAGAAGUGCUCUGUGCAACGGCCCUGCAGCUUGGGGAAAGAAUUGGGAACACCAGAGGCCCUGCCACAAAGCCCUUCAGACCCUGUUCAGCCCCUUCCCCUGCUCUCAUCCUCCCCGACUGCUCCCAUCAGCACCUUCAGCUUUGAGCCCCUCAGCAGCCCCGAUGGACCGGUGGUCAUCCAGAACCUGCGCAUAACCGGCACCAUCACUGCCCGUGAGCACAGCGGGACUGGCUUCCACCCCUACACCUUGUACACCAUCAAGUAUGAGACAGCCCUGGAGGGUGAGGUUGCAGGCAGCCUUCAGCAGAUGGCCUACCACACUGUGAACCGCCGCUACCGGGAGUUCCUCAACCUGCAGACCAGGCUGGAGGAGAAACCGGAGCUCCGCAAGUUCCUGAAAAAUAUCAAAGGACCAAAGAAACUGUUCCCUGAUCUCCCAUUUGGAAAUAUGGACAGCGAUAAAGUGGAAGCCAGAAAAAGUCUGCUGGAAUCUUUCUUGAAGCAAUUGUGUGCAGUCCCUGAGAUUGCAAACAGUGAGGAGGUGCAGGAGUUCCUUGCUCUGAACACGGAUGCCAGGAUUGCGUUUGUCAAGAAGCCCUUUGUUGUCUCCAGGAUAGACAAGAUUGUUGUAAAUGCCAUUGUGGACACCCUGAAGACAGCAUUCCCCAGGUCAGAGCCCCAGAGCCCCACAGAGGAUCUGAGUGAGUCUGAAGUGGAUGGGAAAUAUCAGCCAGAUGGGAAGAAGGCAAACAAGUCCAGGCUGAGGUUCCCAUCCAGCAAAAUCACUCCAGUGCUGAGUGUGAGUGAAGCACAUGACAGGAUUGUGUACUCCGUGAGGGAGGGCAGUGCUGUCUCUGGCACGCUGUCACUGGCUGCUAUGGAGUCCUUCAUCCAGAAGCAGGAGAAGCUGCUGGAAGCAGUCCCCAGCAAAGCUCCUGAGGGCGAGGGGAGUGAAGAAGCCAAGGAAAAAUGUGUGCAGGAGGAUACAGAUGGGCUGAACACGUUGGAGCAGGGAGCACAUCUGGACACGGACUCUGAGACUGCUUUGGCUGACCUGGCCCUGGACUUGCUGCGUUUGCUGCUGAUGGAUCACUGGAGCUGGCUGUGCAUAGAGAAUAUCCAGAAGGUCUUCCACCUGCUCUUUGGGACCCUCAUUCAAAGGUGGCUGGAAGUCCAGGUGGUCAACCUGACCUGCACCCAGCGCUGGGUGCAGUACCUCCAGCUGCUGCAGGAGUCCAUCUGGCCUGGAGGAGUUCUGCCAGAAGUGCCCAAGCCAGCCAGGACAGAGGAACAGAAGAAAGCAGCUGCAGAGCAGGCCCUGCAGAGCCUGAUGGGGAUCUUGCCUAAUGUGGUCCAAGAAAUCCUUGGAACCGAUAAAUGUCGCAUGAGCUGGAGCCUGGUGCUGGAGUCCUUGGGCCAUCCUGUUAUAAACAGGCACCUGGUUUUCUGCCUCUUGGACAUUCUGCUGGAGUUCUUGGUUCUGAAAGGCUCCAGUGAUGAGCUGGAGACUGCAACUGUCGUGCCAUCUGACUCUAGUGGUCUGGAGAAAGCAGGUGGUGCAGCACAUUAACAAGGGCUGGUGUAGCCAGCAGCGAAGGAGAGAAGCCACAGGCAUGGGCUGAUUUAAUUUUUGAUGCUUACUGAACAUGUCUGGGAGCUUCUUGUUAAGAAUUCUUCCAGCUGUAACUAAAUGAGGCUGCUUCCAGGCUUCUCUGUUUUGUCUGGGUGAUGGAUUAGACCCAGUGUCGCUGGCUGAUGAGCUCUUUCUGCCAUGUAGAAGCUGUUCCAUUGCUGAUCUGGUGGAGAGCCUGGGCUGAAGCUUUCUGACUUCUGUGCAGCUGGAUGGUCUGAGAAGGAUGUGCAGGCUGCCCACAGAUGCUGCUGGAAUGUCAUGUCCUGCCCAUGUGCCUGACCAGUCCUAAUGUAUAAAGGCAGAUGGCACACAAGCUUUGCUUCUGUGACUUCAAGCUCCACCUGGCACUGGCAUGCAGAGAUGUGGUGUGAUGGUAUCUAGGUGGCAGGUGAUGGGAAGGCCAAAUGCUGUCCCUGCUCUCUCUAAGCAGCCUGCCCUGUGCCAUCUGUUUUACCAGAAGGAAGAUGGGGAGUGGAUGGAGUGUGAUGACAUCAGCCAUGGAGUCAGCCAGGAACUCAUCCCUGCAUCCCACGUGAUUGGGAAGCUGGAAGACAAGCUGUCUCCUUGCUGCCACGCUGCCACAGUCUUGUUCUGGCAUCUUUUGCUGACUGAAUAUCAAGAGGCAAGUUGGGUAGACUGAUCCUAGGAAAGAGAACUGUUCCCUUGCCUGAAGAGGACUGGUAACUUAAUUGGACUUCAGGAUGACUGUGUAUUUUGCCUGGUGGGUCAUAGUUCAGUCCCACAGACACUCACUUGGAGGGCACAGGAGAGAAGGAGCUGACCUCUGUGUGGCACACAGCACAUAAAUUGUGUCCUGCACAGUGCUCCUCACAGCAAGCUCCAGGAGGGGAGUGAGCACCUCUGAGGCCAGAAGGAAAGCUGAAUGUGUGCCAGGGGGUGUCAGCUGUUAAAUGGCCUUCAGAGCAGCACCUUACCUCUGCCAGACCAAUGACAAGGACCUGGAAAGUGCAUGCAAGCAGACCUGUCUGUAUUUCUGCCAGGAUGUGGAUCACUGAACUGAUCAGUGCAGGACUUUGCAAAUCAAGGAGAUGCUGCUCCUGGUGUUCUCAACAGAUUAAAGCACUGGAAAGAGGAGGCAUUGCAAGAGGAAAGCAUGCAAGAUCUCAGCUAAUUUCCAUGUUACUGUACCAAGGGGUGCUUUUCAUGCAGUUUCUUGGAGCGCUGAGAUCAUGUAAUUUGAACAUGGACACUACUGACAGCAGAGCCUCUGCCCUUCCCAGAGACAGCUGCUUAAUGAUGGACACAUGGCUGUGUUUCUUCAUGCUUCUGCUUCCACUUAUUGCAUCGCCUACCUUGAGGAAUGGGUGAAGGCAGCAGGACAAGGAGCUGUCAGCCAGGGCUGGUGUGAUGUACAUACCCUGUGAUGCUUGGUGGUUUCCCAGGUGCUCAUGGUGUGCUUGCUUGCUAUUGCUUUCUCUUAAACUUAGUGGGUUUGGAGCACCAAGACUGCAUUCUGCCACUGAUAAGGGAUAUCAUUAAGUGUCUGCUGAGAAAGAUAAGUCAGAGAUGGACUGCAGACUGCAUGCUACCAGCUCCACCCGGGGGCAGAGGCUAGCACAGUGCUUACAAACACUGGAUUUGUCCUUGGAAGGAUGAGAUUUGUCUUUGCUCUAAUACGCCCUGACCUCUGGCACUAGGCAAACAGCUCGGUAUUCAUUCCUUCUGAUGAAAAUAAUCUGUGAUUUUUGCUGGUGGGCUCAGAGGGCUGUAGCUUGAGAACUGGCACUUGGCUGGAGUGCUGUGAUGGUGAUUUGUGGUUAUACCAGGCAACUGCUUGGGGAGUGCGUGUGUGUGUGCUCUGCAUCCUUCAUGCAAAGCCUGCGUCUUGUGGGCUUGCUCACAAGGUGCAGUAGUAGCAUCUCCUCUGUGUUCCCUGGUCACUGCAGGGGUGUUGGACCAGGAGAUUUCUAAAGGGGCCUUCUGACCCAUUCUGUAAUUCUGCGUGGGAAUGCUUGGGGCAGAGAGAUGAAGUAAGUUUACUUGCAUGCACUGCAAAUCAGCAGCAGAGUCAGGAGCAGACCUCAGGAGUUUGGAUUGUGAGAUCUCAGAUUUAAUCUCCAGAACUCUUUUUUCUUUUUUCUUUCUUAGAGCAAGGAAAGCA
Molecule: RNA transcript, 5510 nt
Organism: Lagopus muta (rock ptarmigan)
Lineage: Eukaryota; Metazoa; Chordata; Aves; Galliformes; Phasianidae
Gene: SNX19
Gene name: sorting nexin 19
Exons: 12
Source: RefSeq, a predicted model, not a curated record